UUAUUCAACAUUAAAGCGGCACUGUCAUGCCGAAUUCUGUUUUUUUUUUAACCCCCCUUCCGCCUCCACUACAUCCAAUUGACCCACUAGUCACCCCUAAAUGCCCCUAAGCCCCCCACAUUACCUAUUUUUAAAUCCUUAUUUUCUGCCCCGAUCUAUAUUCAGGGCGCAGCCAUCUUUGUGUGGGUAGGUGAAGUCCCUCAGGGACACGUCAUCAGCCCACACUAGGCAGACUGUGAGAUUCCCGCACAUGCCCAGUGAAACACCUGGACAUGCGAACGGGAAUUUCAUCUAUUCAUUCAUUCAUCAGACAGACGAAUGAGUGAAUAGAAAUAUCAGCCGAACAAACAAACACAAUGUAUCAGUGUAUCUGAGUAUCAGUGUAUGUUUGUUCGUGCAGUUUAUUACAAGGAGGGAGCUACCGGCAUGCAGCUCCCUCCUUGUAAUAUGUAACGAUAGAAGCGGCAGGGAGCAGUGCUCCCCACCACUUCAUAAGCCCCCCAGGCCCCCCUCACUCUAUGGGGGUCAAUAUGACCCCCAUAAUAGCACAAGGGAGAUAAAAAUCUCCCAAAUGCCCCUACUCGCUAUACCGCGAGUAGGGGCAUGUCCACUAAACAGUGAGCAGCCUGUGGCUGCUCACUGUAAAAAAACAACAACAAAAAAAAACAACUAUUG
Molecule: non-coding RNA, 675 nt
Organism: Pelobates cultripes (western spadefoot toad)
Lineage: Eukaryota; Metazoa; Chordata; Amphibia; Anura; Pelobatidae
Source: the annotation of a GenBank genome assembly